AUUGAACGCUGGCGGCAGGCCUAACACAUGCAAGUCGGACGGUAGCACAGAGGAGCUUGCUCUUCGGGUGACGAGUGGCGGACGGGUGAGUAAUGUCUGGGGAUCUGCCCGAUAGAGGGGGAUAACCACUGGAAACGGUGGCUAAUACCGCAUAACGUCGCAAGACCAAAGAGGGGGACCUUCGCGCCUCUCACUAUCGGAUGAACCCAGAUGGGAUUAGCUAGUAGGCGGGGUAACGGCCCACCUAGGCGACGAGCCCUAGCUGGUCUGAGAGGAUGACCAGCCACACUGGAACUGAGACACGGUCCAGACUCCUACGGGAGGCAGCAGUGGGGAAUAUUGCACAAUGGGCGCAAGCCUGAUGCAGCCAGGCCGCGUGUAUGAAGAAGGCCUUCGGGUUGUAAAGUACUUUCAGCGGGGAGGAAGGCGAUGUGGUUAAUAACCGCGUCGAUUGACGUUACCCGCAGAAGAAGCACCGGCUAACUCCGUGCCAGCCGCCGCAGUAA
RNAcentral lists this ribosomal RNA (506 nucleotides) under uncultured bacterium. Its description in RNAcentral is "partial 16S ribosomal RNA". It matches the Rfam family "Bacterial small subunit ribosomal RNA", at positions 29 to 523 of the family's 1533-position model. The record is from RNAcentral.